Long non-coding RNA from Cotesia glomerata, 1172 nucleotides. RefSeq lists it as uncharacterized. The record is from RefSeq and is a predicted model, not a curated record. The transcript is spliced from 3 exons. Lineage: Eukaryota; Metazoa; Arthropoda; Insecta; Hymenoptera; Braconidae.
AGUCAUUUAUAUUUACCGUGGAAGUGAUCCAACGAUCAUCUAUGAGCAAGAACUAGACGAUGACGUAAUUCAUAUUAUCACGAAGCCUGAAUUUUGUGACAUGUGGGUAUUUAAUUUAUUGUCAAGAGGAUGGGCGUACAUCGACAAUGAAUAUAAAUUACCAGGUCCAGAGCAUAAUGUGAUUGGUGUAAUCUUCGAAGGGAACUUGUUAACCGUUUGCACUAGAGCAUAUGUGCCAGUACCUGAUUCUGAACAUUGUGAUAAACUUACAGACAUAUAUUUGCAAUAUUCUCAAUGAACAUGCGAUUAAGCAGCCUCUUCAAGGAGAGGUACCCAACUAUGCUUUUCCAUGUAAUAUAAUUCGUGAUGGAGGAUAUUAUUAUUUGGUAGGAGAUAUUGAUGAUAAAAAUAAUCGCGUUGGCAACGUCUACAGGAUAAAUAUGAAGAGUGGAAUUUGGGAAUGUGUUUAUAAAUGUCAACGUAAAGAUAAAGAAAAUAAACUUUGGAAAAAUGUUCCUUAUUAUCUAGUUUUUCAUGGAAAAACGAUUUUUACUUUUUUUAUCUUGAAGAUGAUGAUGAGCAUGACGAUAAGUUCACUCCAUAUUCUUUUUUGAAACUUGCAGCAUUUGAUGUAGAAAAUCCUCGAUGGAGAAUGAUCAAUACUCAUGGAGAUGUUGAUCAUGUACCGAAUUACCCAAUGAAUAGAGACGAAUUUAGCGGAUCGUCUCUUCGAAUUACGCACUACCGAGACUCUAACAGUGAUGUUAUAGUUAUUUUAUCAGGAGAAAUUGAUAGUAAAGAUUAUUACAAUGAUUUGUGGACAUUAAACCUCAGUACUAUGACAUGGAAGAACAUUGACAAUCGUGGAAGUUUAAUACCACGAACGUUUCGAAGAUACUCAAUGACUGUGUCCCCUGCUGGUCAAUUAUUCACAUUCGGUGAAUUCAUCGGUGACCCGAAAGCUAGAGUUCCCUGUGGCUCUCGUGUUCACUCAGUUUGGAUUACUAUUCCAAAACUCAUAGACAUUUGUUGGGAGUCUGUUCUUCACUAUUUGCCGGGCUUAGUUUCAAUGUCUCAAGAACAAAUUGAAAAUCUCGGUAUUUCAUGGAAAUUUUUCCAAUCGAGAAUUAACUAAUAAUUGAGUAUUUUUUUUGCGUUGCCUUUUUUCAAUU